This 253-nucleotide ribosomal RNA is filed under the name uncultured bacterium. RNAcentral describes it as "partial 16S ribosomal RNA". It matches the Rfam family "Bacterial small subunit ribosomal RNA", at positions 524 to 776 of the family's 1533-position model. The record is from RNAcentral.
UACGUAGGGGGCAAGCGUUGUCCGGAAUCAUUGGGCGUAAAGCGCGUGUAGGCGGUUCGGUAAGUCUGCUGUGAAAGUCCAGGGCUCAACCCUGGGAUGCCGGUGGAUACUGUCGGGCUAGAGUGCGGAAGAGGCGAGUGGAAUUCCCGGUGUAGCGGUGAAAUGCGCAGAUAUCGGGAGGAACACCAAUUGCGAAGGCAGCUCGCUGGGACGUUACUGACGCUGAGACGCGAAAGCGUGGGGAGCAAACAGG